Molecule: long non-coding RNA, 6647 nt
Organism: Acinonyx jubatus (cheetah)
Lineage: Eukaryota; Metazoa; Chordata; Mammalia; Carnivora; Felidae
Exons: 7
Source: RefSeq, a predicted model, not a curated record
UCCUGACGCCACCUCCCGAGCGGCUGUCGCGGGCCCGCCCAGCUGUUGACAAAGGCCGCACUGUAGAACCCGGGUUUGGUGAAGGGUUGGAUUCCAAGCCACCACUUGUUAGGCCUCCCACUGGUCAUAGCUACACAAAGUGUAAUCAUAAGAAAACAUCAGAGAAACCCCAGUUGAAGGAUAUUAUGCACAAUACCUGACCAGUACUCCUCAAAAUUGAUGUGGUUAUCAAGAACAAGGAAAGUCUGAGAAACUGUCAAGCCAAGAGAAGCCUAUGGAGACAUUACAACUAACUGUAAUAUGAUAUCUUGGGUGGGAUCCUGGAAAAGAAGAAAAGAUAUUAGGUUUCUAGACUUUUGUUGAGUGAAGAACAAUUUACUAUGAGGUGACCUACAAAAACAACACUCAGAAUUCUCUCAAAUCACAUUGGUCAGUGCAAUCAGCUCUCAGAUAUUUGCUUGAGAAGCAGCCACAGAUUAUAUCCUGAAGAAAUGGAAAAGAAAUGACCCCCAGUCUGGAUAACAUCCCGGAUAGUGUGUGAAAAGUCUAGGAAUACCAAGGUUUAUGCAUCAUUUCGUAUUCAUUUGGGGGAUGGUACAGUCAGAGAAACCAUGAGCAAGAGAAGGUUGAAGGAUGAACUAGCAAGUGUGGUAAACUGAAUUAGAGACCCUGUCCAGAGGUUCUCUGGCACCUGUAGAUCCAAGCAUGAAUGACUUUCUGGGUGACUGUGGCAACGUCUCUUGUAAUCCCCUUGGGAGCCCUGGUAUUCCUUGAACAUGCAUACCUUUCCCAGUGUGAGGGACAUGGACCGCGCUGUUCGAGGGACCCCAUCUUCUGCAGCAAGAGGGAACAGAGAAGAGAAGUCAGGAGGCCAGCAAGAGGCAGAGAAGCUGGGGCCUUCCAAGGGGCCAGAAAGGAAGCAGGAGGAUCUUGGAUCAUGAUGUGGGACCUGAUGACACACAGUGGAACAGCAUCCAGAAGAGCUGCUGAGGUCAAAAAGGGGAAUCAAAAUGUUUCUUUAUUUUGAGAGAGAGAAUGCAAGCGAGGGAGGAGCAGAGAGAGAGGGGAAGAGAGAGAAUCCCAAGCAGGCUCCAUACUGUCAGCGCAGAGCCCAACUUGGGCCUUGAACUCAUCAACCAGGAGAUCACAACCUGAGCCAAAAUCAGGAAUCGGAUGCUCAACCAACUGAGCCACCCAGGCCUCACAAGAGGGAGUUAUCUACUGUGGAUAAAUAUGUCAGUAUGACCUGCCCUUCAUGUCCUCAGCCAAAAGCACUGAUAGAUUGUCUAAGUUUGGUUAUACUGUUUAAGCCACUACUUGAUCAUCAUAAACUACACAGUCAAGUUGAUUUUCCACACUCAUAGAAUGAGUUAAGUGGGUAAGAUAGUUGGGAAAGAAUUUCUUAAGUUGUAACAUACUUGUUGAGGCAGAAAGUCACCACAGGGUUAAGUAAAAAGAAUUUGCACUCUGGAGCACAUUAAUUUUUUCUUUGCCCUAACAAGUCCCAGAGCACAGUGAUGUGUUUAUAACAUACAUAAAGAUAGACAAAGAAUCAGGUAAAAGUAUUUUUAAACAAUUCUAAACUCGUUUUAUAAAUAAAGACUGUUUAAUAUACAAAACCUAAGAUAAUUCAGUCAAAGUAAUCCAUCUUUUCUCGAAUUUGUAAUGCUUCUCGCAACUUUUAGGAAUGAAUGUGAAGAGCAAUCUUCGCUUUUCAAGGUUCUGAAAAUAUCUUCAAAAUAUUUAUUUAAACACUUAAGCAGAAAGCUUUGUCUACACAAAGCAGUAACAUGCAAAUUCCAUGAGUACGUUUGCUUUGGGAAACAAUAUCCCUUGCUGUGCUUCUGAGACUUUUAUAAAGCAGUUCCAAAUCUAUUUAUGUUCUGAGCACCUUCUAGGUUCCUUACACUAGGAAAAGGGAGCAUUCCAAAAGUCUUCCAACCUUCAGGAAGGGCAAAGUCAGAGGGGAGAAAAGACUACAUUCAAAAACUGUAUUUAAAUGAACUGUGAUAGACACAUGGCAUAUACCUUUCUUCCAGACUGAAUGUAUUUCAAUACCAAGCUGUUUCUGGAGACAAUAGGAAGCAGAGGAAGGACAGUAUCUUGAAGGAUGUUAACGAGGAAGGCUUCCUGGAGGAGAUGGGAUACAUGACGGAUAUCAAGGAAUUAUCAACGGUUUUGUUUUUUGUGGGUUGUUUUUUGGUUUGGUUUGGUUUGGUUUGGUUUUGGUUUUUGGUUUUGGCUUUUGGUUUCUUUUGUUUUGUUUCUGUUUUUUAUUUUUAGGAAUUAUCAACUUUUAAUGCCGUGAUGUGUUUACUUGUCACUGGCCUUUAAAGUGUAUUAAUCCUGGGAUGCCGGGGUGGCUCAGUUGGCUGAGCAUCCAACUACAGCUCAGGUCAUGAUCUCGUGAUUUGUGAGUUCGAGCCCUGCAUUGGCUCUCUGCUGUCAGCACAGAGCCUACUUAAGAUCCUCUAUCUCCCUCUCUCUCUACCCCUCGCUGCUCAUGCUCUCUCUCUCUCUCAAAAAUGAAUUUUUAAAAAAAACAUUAAUUUUUUUUCUAAAAAGUAUUAUUCCUGCUGUUAAGAUUUUGCUCAAUAUCCUUUCUGCUUGAAACAUUCUUCCCACAUUCAGCCUAUUCAAAUUCUUCCCAUUUUUAAGGCCACCUCAAAUUCUUUCCUUCCUUCAACAAGAAUCAAUAAUAAAAUCCUUACAACAAGAAGGGGUCUUGUGCUCCUUAUCUUUAGGGACGACCAGAAAGAGGGGAAGAGAAGAGUUUGAGAGUCUGUGUCCUACUUGAAGUGAGAAAACCCAAGGGAUAAAGCAUAUGGUCACAGUUUCCAAAGAAGAGUCACAUCAGCAUUGACCUAUCCCAUUACACCUCAUCUUAUUUCCACAUGAAUCCUAGGAGACAGAUGCCACUCCUCAUUGCUCCGCACCGUUGGCAGAUUACUGUACGCAUGUCAUAGGGUUGUUCCAAGGAUUAAAUGAGUUUCAGCAUGCAGAGUGCUGACACAGUAAACAUUCAGUGCCUGUUUAUUACUAUGACUUAAUUCAUAUCAAUCAAAAAGAUUAAUUAAGUUGCUCAGGCAUCCCAGAGAUACCACACACUUAGGGAUAUUUCCUAUAUUAAUUUCUUGCCUUGGGAAUUCCCAGAUCAAGUACGUAAUAUCAAACAUCAAACCUACCUGACAUACAGACCCAUGGUUGCAAAUUCUCACGUGAAACUCUCACACCCCUCUCCCAACCACCUCUGUCACACUACCACCACCAUUUGCAACUUGUAAAUCCAGACACCAGACUGUCAUCUGUCUUGGUAGGAUUUUUUUCUUUAGUUCCACCCUACCCACUGCCCCUUGUGCUGAGGGUGUAGUUUUUAAGGGCUUGCAGCAUGGGCCCAAAGCCUCUAAUUCUGUCUCUGUGAGCAUUAAAACUCAAGUCCUGGAAGUAAUGGAAAACAACAUCCUUCUUGCAUCCACCGCUAUCUGGGCAGUCUUAGUAUAGGCUCAAAUUCCUUUACUUUUCAAAAUAUUUUUUUAAUGUUUAUUUAUUUUGAGAGAGGGAGGGAGAGAGAGAAUCCUAAGCAGGCUCUGCUCUGUCAGCACAGAGAUGAACUGGGGGCUUCAUCUCACAAACCGUGAGAUCAUGACCUGAGCCCAAAUCAAGAGUCCAACACGUAACCGACUGAGCCACCCAGGCACCCUUAUAGGCUUAAAUGCCUGUUAUUCAGAUCAUUAGAUCUCUCAGCUAUGCAUUUACAAGGACAUUUACUAUGUUGUUCUUGUUGAGUUUUUAAUCCAGCAUAUCUAGGUGUUUUACAACUGGAGGAUUUUCUGGUUAUUCUAAUUUUCCAGAACUAAGAUUCCCAUCACAGUUUUUCACUGACAAUCAAAUUAGGGCUGUUUACCUUUAUGUUCUCAGCUCUUACCUAAGGGAGCAUUUCAUGUAGUUUUAAAUUCCUAAAAAUAAGCUCAUGUUUUAGAGAUGAAUGUUUAUUGAAAACCCAGAGGAAAUUAUGGUGUAGAUUAUAAAACAACUGCCCAGGGGCACCUGGGUGGCUCAGUAGGUUGUGUCCGACUUUGGCUCAGGUCAUGAUCUCACGGUUCGUGAGUUUGAGCCCCCCGUCAGGCUCUGUGCUGAUAUCUCAGAGCCUGGAGUCUGCUUCAGAUUCUGUGUCUCCCACUCUGCCCCUCCCAUGCUUGCACUCUGUGUCUCUCUCGAAAAUAAAUAAACAUUAAAAAAAAAAGCUUAAGAACUUUAUAAAUAAAUAAAUACAAGAGAUCUGAUUUAAGAUGUCAAACAUUCUUUAAGAUCAACUAUUCUUUAUCUCUUUUUAAUAAUUAGCAUAUUGUAUCAGCCUAUAAAAUAGCUCACUCUUUGGAUUGCGUAAACAUAUGUAUUUACCAACACUGCAACCAACCACAGUACCAACCACAGAAAACUAAAGACUCUUAGCUGUCUCUCUUGAGUAUGUACUCAACAAAGUCCACACUGACCAAAUACACUAAUUGCUUUACCUUCAUCUGGUGCACUAGGCCCAACGUGGUGAAUGGCAUUUCGUGAAGCAACACCGCACAAUCACGCCAGUUGAAAUAAAAUCUCUGUACUCAUUCCAAAACUAGAUCUAUAUAGUUUAAAAUGCCUAUAUCGUCCAUAUCUGCUAAGCUUAGGGAAAAAUAAGAAGCUGCCUGUAAGUACCAGAGUAAAGAGUCGCAAUUUCGGUCCCAAUUGUUGUCAGGUGAUUUUUCUCUCUAUCCAGUAUUCUGAUCCCUGCAGACCCUCUUCCCCUCCGUGCCCGCUAUAUGCUAGAAUGCCUCGAGCUUGGUCCGGGCCUUCUCUUGUCAUUCUACAUCCUCUCCCUAGAUUAUCUUACACAAUUCCAUAGUUUUAAAUUUCAUUUAUAUGUCAGCAGCUCACAGACUUCUUUCUCUAGCCCAGAAACUGUCUUUUGAGCUCCAAAUCUGUAUAUCCAACCUGUCCGAUAUCUGUCUCAGACAUAUCUCUGAUACCCAAGUAGUGAUGUAGUCUUGCCCUAAUGUACUCCUCUAUAAUCAUUUCUAUCUUGGAAAAUGACACUUCAAUCACCCAGUAAUUGAUGGCAGAACUCUGGAAGUUCUUCCUGACACUACUUUUUCAAUGACCUGUAUAUAUAAUGCAUUAGCAAGACCUAGUGAUUAAGAUUGAUUGAUUGAUUGAUUGAUCAUAGUGGAGGUAGAGAGAAAUGGAGAUAUACUAUGUCCACUACCUUAAACCUAUUCCUAGCUGUUUAUCAUGUGUUACCUGGCCAGUCACCAGGACUAGUUUCCUAAGUGGUCUGCCCACAUCCUCUCAAACACUCUAAUCUAUUCUACACAAUGUAACCAGAACAAUCUUUUAAAAUGACAAAAUCAAUUCUUUAUCACAGGCAUAUGCUGAUUGAAACAUAUACACAUCACUUAAAACUUUCAGUUACAUUGCACCUAAGAUAAAAUCCCAACUCCAUAACAUAUCCUUUGCCAAAAGAAGUCUCAGAGACAAAAGCAUUUAGAAAAAAAAAAGAUUUCUUAGAAAAACACUUGCAAAAGGUUACAAUUGAGUUCAACUUUAGAAGGACUGGUUCACAAAACACGGUCCCCAAGGUUAUAUGGUUCAUAAUGGAAAAAGCAACUUUCUCAUAUGUUUGCCAUACUCCCCCAAAUUAUUGCAUAUCAUCAGACUUAGAAAAGUCAGCAUUACAAAAGUCAGCAAUUAAAUUAUUUUUGUUAGGGAAUCAGUAACAUGCGAGAAAGGCUAAAGGUUUUAUUCACUUUGGAGACUAUAGAUAGUAUGACACUGUCCUUUUUUGGCUUACCUCAGAGCACAAAGUGUUUUGUUUUUCUUAACUGUGGUAUGUGACAUACAUACUUUCUCAUAUUGGAAGCAGGGAAAGGUGCUAAUUUUGCUUUAUGUGGAUAAAUCUGGGCAUGAUGUGGCUACUUCUUAUGUCUUUGCCCUCAACUUAUGUUAUGCUUCCCAUAUCUAUGUUCCAGCCACAUGGCCUUCUUUCAGGUUCACCAACUCUUCCCCCAGCACACUGUUCCCUGUCUGGUACACACUCUCUUGUAGCCUUUAUGGAGCCAAAUCUUACUCAUCUUCCCAGUUACAACUUAAGUAUCACUUCCUCCAAAUCCCAAUCUAAAUCUAUUCUCCUAUUAUUCAAUCAGUCAUAAUGUCUGCAUUAUCAGUUAGGAUGCCUUUGGUUGUCAGUAACUCAACGACAAAUUCAAACAUAUUGCUAGGGUCUUCAAGGCCAGGGAGGUUUUGAGCAUGGAGAAGAAAAUUCACCAAUAUGUGUACUUUUGUACAAAGCUCACUUUAUAAACAUUAAUAUGUAGUAAGCAGUAUUUCCUGGAAAUGUUGUCUUGUUUUGUCCCAAACAGUAUUUUCUAAGCAUAUGUGGCUAUUGAGCGCUGGAAAUAUGGCUAAUGCAACUGAGGAAUUGAAUUUUUAAUUUCAUUUAUUUUUAAUUAACAUUUAAAACUGAUAAUUGCUUCAGUUUUUGGAAAACUUAAGCAUGCUUGGAAAAACUCAAAUAUGUGAAUCUAUUUUUGCAACUGCAAAUUUUAAGAAAUCUAAAUUUUAUGAAAUCAAUUUCCAAUUGAAAUUAAGCAAUUAAGAAUAAAGCAUGUAAG